This 379-nucleotide ribosomal RNA is filed under the name uncultured eukaryote. RNAcentral's name for it is "SSU rRNA". It matches the Rfam family "Eukaryotic small subunit ribosomal RNA", at positions 587 to 972 of the family's 1831-position model. The record is from RNAcentral.
AGCUCCAAUAGCGUAUAUUAAAGUUGUUGCAGUUAAAAAGCUCGUAGUUGAACCUUGGGCUUGGUUGGCCGGUCCGCCUUUUUGGCGAGUACUGGACCCAACCGAGCCUUUCCUUCUGGCUAACCUUUCGCCCUUGUGGUGUUUGGUGAACCAGGACUUUUACUUUGAAAAAAUUAGAGUGUUCAAAGCAGGCCUUUGCUCGAAUAUAUUAGCAUGGAAUAAUAGAAUAGGACGUUAUGGUUCUAUUUUGUUGGUUUCUAGGACCAUCGUAAUGAUUAAUAGGGACGGUCGGGGGCAUCAGUAUUCAGUUGUCAGAGGUGAAAUUCUUGGAUUACCUGAAGACUAACUACUGCGAAAGCAUUUGCCAAGGACGUUUUCA